AUUGAACGCUGGCGGCGUGCUUAACACAUGCAAGUCGUGCGGUAACAGGCGUAGCAAUACGUGCUGACGAGCGGCGAACGGGUGCGUAAUACAUGGGAAUCUGCCCUUUAGUGGGGAAUAACCCGGCGAAAGCCGGGCUAAUGCCGCAUAAGAUCUUCGGAUGAAAGCGGGGGAUCGUAAGACCUCGCGCUGAUGGAUGAGCCCAUGUCGGAUUAGCUAGNGGUGAGGUAACGGCUCACCAAGGCGACGAUCCGUAGCUGGUCUGAGAGGACGGCCAGCCACACUGGGACUGAGACACGGCCCAGACUCCUACGGGAGGCAGCAGUGGGGAAUAUUGGACAAUGGGGGAAACCCUGAUCCAGCGACGCCGCGUGUGUGAAGAAGGCCUGCGGGUUGUAAAGCAC
RNAcentral lists this ribosomal RNA (404 nucleotides) under uncultured bacterium. RNAcentral describes it as "bacterial SSU rRNA". It matches the Rfam family "Bacterial small subunit ribosomal RNA", at positions 29 to 433 of the family's 1533-position model. The record is from RNAcentral.